RNAcentral lists this ribosomal RNA (460 nucleotides) under Malbranchea cinnamomea. RNAcentral's name for it is "eukaryotic LSU rRNA". The stretch from base 128 to 281 matches the Rfam family "5.8S ribosomal RNA". The record is from RNAcentral. Lineage: Eukaryota; Fungi; Ascomycota; Eurotiomycetes; Onygenales; Malbrancheaceae.
AUAAGCGGAGGAAGAUUCCGUAGGUGAACCUGCGGAUAUGCAUAUCAAUAAGCGGAGGAAGCUUCCGUAGGCGCAAAAGUAUUUAUACUUUAUGGUCUCUCUGAGACUUCUGUACUGAAUAAGUCAAAACUUUCAACAACGGAUCUCUUGGUUCUGGCAUCGAUGAAGAACGCAGCGAAAUGCGAUAAGUAAUGUGAAUUGCAGAAUUCAGUGAAUCAUCGAAUCUUUGAACGCACAUUGCGCCCGCCAGUAUUCUGGCGGGCAUGCCUGUUCGAGCGUCAUUUCAACCAUCAAGCCCCGGGCUUGUGUUGGGGACCUGCGGCUGCCGCAGGCCCUGAAAAGCAGUGGCGGGCUCGCUGUCACACCGAGCGUAGUAGCAUACAUCUCGCUCUGGGCGUGCUGCGGGUUCCGGCCGUUAAACCCCCUUUAACCCAAGGUUGACCUCGGAUCAGGUAGGAAG